AGUGGGAUAGCUGGGUCAAAUGGUGUUCCAUUCCCAGUUUUCUAAGGAAUCUCCAUACUUCUUUCCAUAGUGGUUGCAACCAUUUGCAGUUUCACCAGCAAU
Molecule: microRNA precursor, 102 nt
Filed under: Marmota monax (woodchuck)
Lineage: Eukaryota; Metazoa; Chordata; Mammalia; Rodentia; Sciuridae
Source: RNAcentral